Molecule: ribosomal RNA, 1274 nt
Filed under: Staphylinidae sp. BMNH 1274192
Lineage: Eukaryota; Metazoa; Arthropoda; Insecta; Coleoptera; Staphylinidae
Description: 16S ribosomal RNA
Rfam family: Archaeal large subunit ribosomal RNA (bases 1029-1187)
Source: RNAcentral
UGAUURUAUAAUAUUAUUUUUAUUUUUUCAAUAAAAUAAUUUAUUUUUUAAUAAUAAUYAUGAAAAAAUUAUUAAUAUUAUAGUUAAUUAGUAUAGUGAUAGAAAUAUUUUUUAAUUUUAAAAGUAAAUUUAAUUUAUUGUACCUUGUGUAUCAGGGCUUAUUAAAUAAUAGUUAAAUAUUUAAUUAUCUCGAUUUUAUAAGAGUUAAUAAAAUAUAAAUUUUAUUGUAAAAUAAAUAUUUAUAAUAUUUUAUUAGAAAUGAAAYGUUAUUCGUUUAUAAAUAUAUCUAGUUUUUAAAGAAAAAAAUUUAAUUUUAUAUUAAAUAUAAAAUUAAUUUAUUUAUAGGUUAAUUUUAUUAUUUAAUUUAAAUAUUUUUUAGGAUAAGCUAAAAAGUAUAAAUUUAUAAAUUUAUAUUAAUARGAUAAUAUAUAGAAUUAGAAAUUUUCAAUUAUAGUUUGUUAUAAUUAAUUAUUAAAAAUUAUUUAUUUAUAUAUUUUUUAAUUUUUAUAUUUAAAUAAUUUAUUUAAUUAAAUAGUAAAUGAAAUAAUGAUAAAAUUAGUAUAAUAUAUUGUAUGAUAUAAUUUGUGUUUAAGGUUAAAUAAAGGAAUUCGGCAAAUUUAAAUUUUUCGCCUGUUUAAUAAAAACAUGUCUUUUUGAUUAUAAUUUAAAGUUUAACCUGCCCUCUGAAUUUUGAAUGGCCGCAGUAUUUUGACUGUGCUAAGGUAGCAUAAUAAUUAGUUUUUUAAUUAGAAGCUAGAAUGAAUGGUUGGACGAGAAAAUUACUGUCUCUAUUUAAUUUAAUUAAAAUUUAAUUUUUAAGUUAAAAAGCUUAAAUUUUGUUAAAAGACGAGAAGACCCUAUAGAGUUUAAUAUAAUUUAUUAAAUUAAGUUUUAAGAAUUAUUUAUUUUAUUUAUAAAAUUAUAUUUUAUUGGGGUGAUAGUAAAAAUUAAUAAACUUUUAUUUUAUUAAAACAUUAAUUAAUGAUUGAUUGAUCCAUUUUAUGAUUAUAAGAUUAAAUUACCUUAGGGAUAACAGCGUAAUUUUUUUUAAGAGUUCUUAUCAAAAAAAAAGUUUGCGACCUCGAUGUUGGAUUAAAAUUUAAAUUUGGUGUAGAAGCUGAAUAAUUAAGUCUGUUCGACUUUUAAAAUUUUACAUGAUCUGAGUUUAAACCGGUGUGAGCCAGGUUGGUUUCUAUCUUUAAUAAAAGAUUAUAUUUUAGUACGAAAGGACCAAAUAUAGGUAAAAUUUAUUUAAAKGGAAUUUUAUUAUUAUU